Molecule: ribosomal RNA, 180 nt
Filed under: Bacillus cereus
Lineage: Bacteria; Bacillati; Bacillota; Bacilli; Caryophanales; Bacillaceae
Description: partial 16S ribosomal RNA
Rfam family: Bacterial small subunit ribosomal RNA
Source: RNAcentral
GCGAGGUGGAGCUAAUCUCAUAAAACCGUUCUCAGUUCGGAUUGUAGGCUGCAACUCGCCUACAUGAAGCUGGAAUCGCUAGUAAUCGCGGAUCAGCAUGCCGCGGUGAAUACGUUCCCGGGCCUUGUACACACCGCCCGUCACACCACGAGAGUUUGUAACACCCGAAGUCGGUGGGGU